This 30370-nucleotide long non-coding RNA is filed under the name Triticum aestivum (bread wheat). RNAcentral describes it as "long non-coding RNA (TAES_LNC023561)". Lineage: Eukaryota; Viridiplantae; Streptophyta; Magnoliopsida; Poales; Poaceae. The record is from RNAcentral.
GACAUAUCCAUUGCAGUGCCAAAUAAAGAAAGUUUUCCGAGAAUUAACAGCAGGACAAUGGUCCGCUUGUUGUAUAUAAUAAAUAUCACACUGGUGUUGUAUAUGUGUAGCCGGUGCUAGAAUUUACAUAUGCAUGCUCCACAACCUAUGUUCGUACAAACACAGAUCAUACCGAAGGAAAAAUAUGCUCUGGUCGGGAAGCAGAGUCCUGGACAAAAGUGAAGUUCACAAAAGACAAUCAUACAUAGGCCAUUGUUUUAACUCGUAGUUUAGGCCUUGCCAGACUCCUCGCAACCCGGUGGCCUGAAUGCGAUGAAGCUGACGCACUGCACCUGGCGCAGGUUGUCGAAGCCGAUGACGCGGACAUAGGCGUCAGGGUACUCCUUCUUGACCUCCUCCACCUCGUUGAGCACCUGCGUGGCGUCGGUGCACCCGAACAUAGGCAGCUUCCACAUUGUCCAGUAUCGACCGUCGUAGUACCCGGAGGAGCUGUUGUGCUCACGGAAGACGAAGCCAACCUUGCUGAACUCGAGGCAGGGCACCCACUUGGAGCGGAUCAGGUAGUCGACCUGCUUCAGGAGGGCCUCCGUGGAGAGGGGUGGCAAGUAAGACAGGGUCUCGAACUUCUUGAUGCCCUCAAUCGGCCACACCUGAAUGAAUGGAAAUUGUGGAAUGCACACAACUGCUUAACACUUGGUGCUAGUAAAUUGUACGUACAGAGGAAGAAACUCAUAUCAGUUUUGUGCCUCGAGUCUCGACAUACCUGCAUGCACCUGAUCCUUCCGCCAUUGCUGACGCGGCCGAGGCUGCCGCUGGAGCGGCGGCUGACGGGGAGACCGGCUGUGGACUUGAGCCCCUGGAAGGGUGCGACGGUGGUAGCCGACGAAGCCAUCACGGCGGGGGCCAUGGUAUUGUAUUAUCGGAGGAGAGGAGGAUGCCGGCUACAGGUGAGGCCACCAUUGCCGGGUCACUACGGUAUAUAUAGCCAGACACUUAGCGUCGUUUCUUUGGUACAGAUGUGGUUGGGGUGGCUGACGUUCUCUGGUUGCCUCGUUUCCUUAUCUUCUCCGGAUCAGUGGAAGAAGCAUGGCCGUCGGAUGCGUUGUGUGUGCUGGAAAUUUCAGUCCUUCAUGUCAUUGGCUGGCUGCCACACAACCUUUUUCCAGCUUUUCUUGUUUUUGGUUUCAUUUAAAGCCAAAAGUUUCUUGAGUACAAAUUUUCUGAGAUGCGACUUGAGUGGUGCGGGCAAAAUAUUUUACAUUUUAUCAUAAGAUCUGAUGGCUCACUCUCUCGAAAGUAUGCCCAUAGGCGUAGAGUGUGCGUGUGUGCAUUUAUAGGGGUUGUUGUACAUGUGUGUAUGUGAACGUCUACAUUUGUACACCGUUUCUCAAAAUAAAAUAUAUGUUUUGUUGGUACAAUUAAUUGAACUAGCAUAGUAACCGUCCACACGCAGAACAAGUUCUUUCCCCUCUCGCAAGGCAACUAUUGAAAGCUUUCCAGCCCUCUAUAUCCGCCAGUGAGCCCGUGGAUCCGCCUCCCCUCUGCCGGAAGGGGGAUUCCUGGUGCCUCAGCUCUGGCUAGUAGAUAAGUAGGGUUUUUAGUCCUCAUAGGUGAGGCUCUUGGACGGAUGGCAGCCCUUCUUCUUCGAGCCAAUCUUUCGGGAUCCGAUCCUCUUCAAGUUCCUCUGUCUAGGGAGCUCCGACGUAGAUUCUUGCCAGCUCCUCAGGCGGCGAGGUUAGGAUUUCUCGUCAUGCGUAUGCACAAUGAAAUUUGUGUCAGGUUCUUUAGAUCGAUUCAGGGAUUCAACGGCGGCGACUGCGGCUCCAGAGCACUAGUCCUUAGGGGCACGUGCAUGAAGACUUCCUGGCUGUCAUCGACAAGGUCAAGGUAGCUCUAGAGUGGGAGCAACGACAACGGUGCUUUAGUGGCUCGUCUCUAUGCGUAGGAACGAAAAGAAAGCCCUAUAUCUCGACUUUUUGACAACUCUCUGUGACAAUGGGAUUGAGCUACUCCAUACCUUGUUUUAAACACUACUGGGUAGGAACGAAAAGCUCUAUAUCUCAACUAUUAACACAUAUGGCUAAAUCUGUACCUUGAAUUAUAGGAUAUGCCAAUCGGUCAGUGGUGGGCGGUCUCUCACAUACAUUGUCUCUCAAGUAGGGCUGCAAAUGAGACGAGUUCGAGCGAGUUGGACUUGACUCAGCUCAACUCAUAUUAAAAUUCGAGCAAGCUCAAACUGAGUGAAGCUCAAGGUCAAGCUGUAGAACAUGACUCAUGCUCAACUUGUAACGAUCUCGAGUCGAUCUCGAGCUAGUUUCGAGUUAAAUGAGAUGAUAAAAUUUAUAAAUUUUAUGACCAUUAUUCCAACUAGAUAAGCACAACAUGACAUAAAAAAGCACAAAAAAUAUUAUUCCAAUCAGAACAAUGAUAAUACAAUUUUCUUUUGAAAUGAUACAAAUUUUGUUAGAAGUAGUUUAACUUAUUCUAUCACAACCGAAAGUCUAGUAUCAACGUAAGAUAACGAUUCACGACAUAUAUAUAAUUGCGAAAACGAAGGUGCAUAUGCUGGGAACUUUUGCUAGAAACAACAAAAUAUUUAACACAUGGUCGACCACAUACCAUAAUAAGGCCUAAAUUUUCUCUACAACUAAUUAAGCUUCGAUGUUUGUUUGUAAAUGAAAUGGAGAAAAAUCCUGGAUGGCACAUAUGGUAUUAAAUUAUCAUAUUUUCAUUUAUUAUAUGGCAUGAUCAUUUAACAUAAUGAUAUUAUGCCGAGCUAUCGAGCUAAAACCGAGCGAGCCAGUAUUGGCUCAAGAUCGGCCCGUUUCUCGACUGAGCUAUAGAAAGUGUUUGUACUCAACUCGUUUCUUUUCAAGUCGAGUCAAAAAUCGAGUCGAUCUCGAGCCGCUCACGAGCCUCAAGCUUUUCUUACAGCCCUACUCUCAAGCAGUGUCAUGUUGAGACAACUCAAUCAUCCUACUUUCCAUCCCAUAUGAGCGGCAGAUAACGGAAAGACAUUAAUAUCACAAGGCCUGGACCGGAGGCAAUAAGUUGUAUGGACAACCAUGAAGCCUAGAAUAAUUAUGUUCCUCUCAUGAUAUCGAUGCCCUGGCACCUGGAGGUCUCUCGAUUUGCGCCUCGAGUUGAACUUCUCCAACUACACCAAUUGAUCGGAUGGCUCCAAUCACUAAAUUACCGCAAGAGUAAAUAAUACCAUGAAGAGGAAAAACAGGAAUAGACGAUGCAUAUCAAAUAACCGCUUACUAGCUGACCGACCCAUAGCCAACGAUUACUCAAAUAACAUCACAUAUAAAAGGGUUUAAGAGUUGUUACAACCCAUUACGGAGACUGUGAUGGGGGACGAGAAGGGGUAUGGGUGAGGGCGGAGUGGCGACGGCGGCGCUUCUCCAGCAUUGCCUCCUUCAAGGUUGCAAUGAUGGAGAUGGAGGCUUGGCACAGCCCUCAAGUGUUUUUUUAUGUCGAUGGCAGCUGGACGUAUGGAUCGUGUCCCCGAGUGGCUAGGGUUGGAGGUGUAUUUAUAAGAACUCUCCCAAAGCCUCCUUCGUUGAUGUAGCAUCUCUACUUUGAUCCAAGUGCUCUACGUGAGCCAAAUAUUUCCCAAAACCUCCCUUGAUGGCAAAGAAAGUAGUAGGAACGAACCGGGACAAAAUCCUCAAAGAAUCCCCGUCUGAAAGGGCAACUUUCGGGCUUGUCUAGGCGUAAUACGAGCACUGGUACAUCCUUUUUUUUAUGUAUCAAAGGUCGUUGAACGCUUUGGACUCUUUGGUAAAACCGCCGUAACUUUUACAUCCGGACUCUAUUUUUGACGUUCAUGUGCUCGUUGGAAUCACGAUAACGGCGCCGAUGCACCUGUGGUAUUACAUAUUGAUUUUGAGCACUUUGGAAAACAACUUUUUUCACUCUCCGAAAUGCCCAAGUCUGGUGUCUCGAUGUCCUUCGUUUGGAUCCUUUUCAUUGUGUUAAGUGCGUGAGAGUUCCACAUUACGUACAAACACACAAAGAAAAAUAAUACUAAUAAGAAUAAAUAUUAUGCAAUGCUCGCGCUGAAAAUGUUAAAUACUGCCAUACUGGAGAUCAUGCAUAUGGACAUGCAAUUGUGGCUCAAUGGCACAUGCUAUACGGAGAUAAUAGGCGACAAAUGAGCUCUAAACGUGUGUAAAAAUAGGUGCCAUCACUUGGAUCAACGAGAUAUUAUCUUGUGGAACACCUUCCAUCCUUUUGAAGGGUGUGCCUAGUAGGUAAUUCCAAUGAAAACAUGGGAUCCACCAGGGUGACCCACCGUUACCACUUCUAUUUUUCUUGGCAGUGGAUUUACUUCAGUCUAUCCUCAGUGACAUGUAUCAUCGUGGGGAGCUCUUUUUUUCAACCCAUCUCAUGAUCUAGACUCUCCAAUUGUGCAGUAUGUUAAUGAUAUGUUGUUGAUUAUGCUGGAUAUUGAUUCUCAGCUUAUUGACCUAAAAGAAAUGUUACAACUUUUGUCUAAAUCCACUUGCUUGAAAGUGAUUUUUUGUAAAUCCUCCAUGGUUCUUAUAAAUGUGAUUGACGAUGAAGCUUCUCAUUGUCCAGUUUGUUUGAGUGUUAACAGGGUAAGAUGCCUUUCACUUACCUGGUUUACCUAUGGUUAACACUAGGCCCAAGAUCUAGGACUUAAUGCCUUUGGUUGAUAUAAUGAAAAUGAAAUUGGCAGCUAGCUCUUCUAUGCUCUCACAAGGUGCUAAAUUGAAACUUUUGAGGUCUGCCAUUUCAUCUAUGCCGAUAUACUAUCUUUGUAGUCUCUAGACUCCCCCUGGAAUUAAACAACUGGAGAGAAUUGAGUAGAAUAUCUCUGGCGUGGCAAUGCUGAUAGCUCAAAUCAACCAUUCGUGAUAUGUCAUCUGGUAUGUAAACCAAAGGAGAAUGGUGGUAUCGGUAUCAUUAACCGUCAUAUUCAAGACCAACCUUUGCUUACAAAACACUUGCGCAAAUUUCAUAAUAAAGCUCAUAUUCCAUGGGUAACUUUGAUAUAGAUUUCUUACUAUCAUGGAGUCAUACCCGACGCAACAGUCCUUUGUGGCUCUUUCUGAUGGAGGGAUAUUUUGGAACUUAACGAUCAGUACAUGGCAAUCUCUUCAAUCAAAGUUAAUAUUGGCAACUUUGCCUUGUUCUUGUCUGAUGCUUGGUUGAUUGAGGGAUUUUCUCUACCUCUUCGACAUCGUUUGGAUAGGCUCUUUUCAUUGCCUUGGAUGACAAAAUUUCUGUUAAAGAUUUUAAAGAAACCCCUGAUCGGGCCACUCUUUUGCACCAGCCAUUUUUUGCUGAGGCGAUGGAUGAAUCGCAACCUCUGGAUGGUUGGUUACACAGCCUUCAGCGAAACCAAACCCUGCCUGAUGUUUGUUCUUGGUAAGGAGGGUCAUUUUCCGCCAAAAUCUUCUACUGCAUGAUGCACAAGCAUAUGCCCACCGAUGAACCUUGCAAAUGGAUAUGACAGAGCACCAUGAAGAUCAAGAUCUUUGCUUAGAUCCUAUUAUUUUAUCAGUUGAACGCUCGGAACAUGCUCCUUAGAAGGCACUGACAUUCUCCUCGGGAUGAAACCCAUUGUGCUCACAUGAGCAAAGAGACCACUUGCUUUUCUCCUAUAAUUUUAGUCAAAGGAUUUGGACUUAUUUACAGAUUGAUUGGAGCCCCAGACGAAACACUAGACAAUGUAUUGAUGCUGCAUGUAGACGAUUUGGACACCCUUUCUUCUUUGAAGUGGUGUUCUCUUGGAACUAAUAUUUGUAUUAUUACAAAUGGCAAGAUCUUCACAGGGGAGAGGCCAUCCUUUCCUGCUUGGUGUUGUAAAUUUGUACAUGACAUCUCUUCUUGUAGAUAGAGUUAAUGCUUACCAAAGCUCCUGGAUUGGAUUAGUAAUCUCCAUUAGAUAAAUAGGUAGGUAGGAAAGUGUUGUUUUUCCUUUUUUCUUGGUUCCCUUUGUAAACAUUUUUUGCUUGCUUUUGUUUUGAUGGAAUAAAGGACUGGAGCUGUUGCUCCAUACUAGUUACAAAAAUCCGAGUUUUUUCUUGAUUUUUCACUAGUAUGAUUACACUCCUUCACAAAGGAGCUCAUGCAAUGCAUGUUGGAGAUUUAUUUCAAUAGUUCCAUAACAUGUUUUGAAUGCUGUUGCUAUCUAGUUCAGUUAGAUGCUUAUUGUCCAGACCAACAAAAGUUCUUUAGUAAGGGUCUCUACAAGAAUAUGUUUCAUCCUAGUCUACUAGCAAAAACCGAUGUAGAUGCUGGUAGUGACAUGGAAAAGAAACCAUAAUCUUUUUGUAUUGAUAAGUAAAGAAACUGAAAUUUGCAACUGCAAAUCAGGGGAUCUUAAUGUCAAAUACUGAAUGCUUCCACAACUAGUUGUGAGACAUAUUCAUUGCAGUGCCAAAUAAAGAAACUUUUCCUGAAUUAAUAACAGCAAGACAAUGGUCCGCGUGUUUGUAUAUAAUAAAUAUCACACAGGUUUUGUAUAUGUGUAGCCGGUUCUAGAAUUUACAUAUGCAUGCUCGAGAACCUAUGUUCGUACAUACACACACAGACCAUAUAGAAUGAAAAAUAUGCUCUGGUCGUCCAGCAGAGUGGUGGACAAAAGUUAAGUUCACAAAAGACCUUCAUACAUAGGCCAUUGUUUCAACUCGUAGUUUAGGCCUUGCCAGACUCCUCGCAACCCGGUGGCCUGAAGGCGAUGAAGCUGACGCACUGCACCUGGCGCAGGUUGUCGAAGCCGAUGACGCGGACAUAGGCGUCAGGGUACUCCUUCUUGACCUCCUCCACCUCGUUGAGCACCUGUGUGGCGUCGGUGCACCCGAACAUAGGCAGCUUCCACAUUGUCCAGUAUCGACCAUCGUAGUACCCGGGGGAGCUGUUGUGCUCACGGAAAACGAAGCCAACCUUGCUGAACUCGAGGCAGGGCACCCACUUGGAGCGGAUCAAGUAGUCGACCUGCUUCAGGAGGGCCUCCGUGGAGAGGGGUGGCAAGUAAGACAGGGUCUCGAACUUCUUGAUGCCCUCAAUCGGCCACACCUGAAUGAAUAGAAUGCGCAGAUGCUCAAUACUUGGUGCUAAGUAAAUUAAUUGUACCAACAAUUCUAGAAAAAUCUGUUGAUGAGCAAAAAAUUGCUCCUGAUGGACAGGUCUCAUAUGCAUUGUUCGUUUGUCCACAAUGAAGAAAGCUUAAGGGUAGCCCUUAAACUGAUGGGCACUCUGAAGGUACUAAGAUAAUUUUAUCUAGUCCAUGCUGCAAUAAAAAGUAUUUCCAUUCACUAAGUUAUGAGUUGAUUGCUUUUACAUACGGAUCCCAGCUUAGGGACAAGGUUGAAUGAGCAUCCAAAGCCAAAUGGUUUCCAUAGGCAACAAAACAAACAGAUAAUAAGGUUUCGGAAUAAUCUGUUGACCAAAUUAUGUUAUAAAUUGGGGAUGUUCUGCAAGUGAAUUACUUGUACUGCCAAAGAAACUCAUGUCAGUUUAAUUAGUGACUGACAUACCUGCAUGCACCUGAUCCUUCCGCCGUUGCUGACGCUGCCGAGGCCGGCGCUGCUGGAGCGGCGGCUGACGGGCAGGCCCGCGGUGGACUUGAGACCCUGGAAGGGUGCGACGGAGGUGGCCGAGGAAGCCAUCACAGUGGGGGCCAUGGUGUUGGAGGAGGGAAGGUGGCAGGCUAAGCUUGAGGCCCCCAUUGCUGGGUCACCACGGUAUAUAUAGCCAUAUAUGGCCAGCUCCUAUCUUUAAUCAAGAUGUGGAAGGGGUGGCUGGCGUUCGUUGGUUGCCUGGUUUCCUUAUCUCUCCGGAUUAGUGUAAGAGGCAUGGCCGUUGGAUGAGUUGUGUGUGCCGAAAAUUUCAGUCGUCCAUGCCAUUGUGUGAUUGCCACAAACCCUUUUUCCAGCCUUGCAUGUACUGUAUUAUUCUUUUCGUUUUAUUUUGCUAAAGGUAACGCUUGAAAGGUGCAGGAAGAACUUCCUUUGCUGAUUUGCGAUUUAAGUUGAGUGGCACAGGCAUAACGAAUGUUAUAGUACAUCCUUUAUCCACUUCUAUAAUACAAACUUGUCAAUCAAUUAUGCUUGCUUGUAACCUUUGGCGCUUCAUUUUAUAAAAUUUUAUACAGGUAACGUACACAUUUGCUGCAUGUGUGAUGUGUGUCAUCAUGACCUUUAUGUCUUUUAUUCACAAUUAUUCAUUGGAACACAAAAGUGUUGUACUGUUUUCUACGCCUAAUCAUUUACAUGCCCUGGAGGAUUUUUAGUAUUGGAAAUGCUAUUUAAUUGGGUGUCCAAGCAAGGUAGAACUUUGUUCUAAUCCACGAGCAAAAGUUUUAGAUCCCUCUGUUGUCCAUUUACUCAGUUCGUGUCGGCCCCAGUGAACUCAUAAAUUACAUAUGGUGAGUCCAUCAUGAUUUUGUAUCAUCGUUGAAUCUAGCCCACAAAAAAGGCAGAUGUAUAUUCAUUCAUUUCAUGGUGAUGAAGCAACCUGCAAAAUGAUGCGAUCGACCAUGACCACUCAGUGAUAUGGCAAUCAUGUAGACGGACAUUGUGAUCAUCUAGUCAUUUAAGAUAGAUGUCGUGAUCUUCUUGUGUGACCGUCUCAUAGAUUUGAGCUGCAAAUCGAAUCUUAUAUUCUUCCAAAAAAAAUUCUGAAUUUCCUGCAUGUAAGAUGAUAAAGCUGAGUUUGUAAUUAAUUAUUUUUUGUGAAUCCUUAAUGAUAAUUAACACGACCCAGAUAUUACAAAAUAUCCAUAAUUAUCAUGACUGAAUCAAUAAAUUACUAUUGCAGAAUGAACCUUCCAUAGGCCCCUCCACUUGGGCCCGCCGGUGGAGAGAUUCAUCACUCAUGGGCCACAAAACGCCAGCCAUGCAGGAGGACCUUCACUAACGGGCCCUUAAGUUGGCAUCAAUGGAGGGUCACCCAUGGGGCCCAUAGAUCCAACUGAAUGGACGGUCCAUCUCUACUGACGGUCGUACCACACCACUCGUCAAUGUUGGGUGGCCCGUCGGUGCUGAAUUAAGGUAUUUCUAUCUACUGGAGACGAAGUGGCCUUAUAUGCGCUUUCUCUUUUCUCCUAAACAAAACCAUGCCGCCGCCCCCAAUCCCUUCAUCCCCAACAUCAUCACCACCCUAUCCAAUGUUUUCGUCUCCUUUCAUGUGUGCCCCCUCCUUCUCCCACAUUGAUCUGGUCCAACGCUACCGUCUCAUCCCGCGAUUAUCGUCAUCUACUCUUCGGUUACUCGUGACGGCGCGGGUUGUGGCUUCCCGCUUGCUCUCUCGUAAGAAUGGUUGGGUAAACCCCAAGUGUAAGGAUGAAGUAACCUAGUAAUAAGUAUUGUCCUCAAUACGUUUCUCAAACCAGUAGGAAUUUCUUCUACAACCCAAAUCCUCGGUACCUGCACACCAAACACAAAACAAUCUUGCCCCAACGUUUCAAGAAGGUUGUCAAUCUUCUUGUCCUACUAGUUACAAGGAUUAGUUGUUAGUUGAAAGCAAAUAUCGGUUGCUAAGUAGCCUUAGUGCGGUUCGCACCUUUAGACCUGCCAUGGCACUGUCAACACUAUACUCGCCAUGCUUAGGGUUCACACUUUUUAUAUACACCAAGAUCAGCCUAGGUGCUUCGUGUCGUACUAGCACUAAUCCAGCCAUCAAUAUAAAGGAAAUGCUACCCAUAGUUCCAAAGCUUAGUUAUUCAAAUAUGAGUCAGAUAUGGUACUAAUAUUAGUUUAAAAAAGGCACAUGUAGUUGGUCAGCCAAUGUUCCUUCUUGAGUUUCAAAAUACACGUACGCCACUUAAAGAGAGACAUGAGUGAAUAGUAUUUCUUUGUGCCAUCUUCUCCAUCAUGGAUGGGCAACGAACAUUGCGUUGUAUAGAAAGAAGAGUUAUAUCCACCUUUUACAUAGAUUAUGAUUUGCCUAAUUUCGAAGCUUAUUUGUUCAAAUAUGAGUUUGAUAUGGUACUGAUAUUAAUUAAACAAACACACAUUUAAUUGUCAGCUAAUGUUCCUACUUCAGUUUUGAAAUGCAUGUCCGCCCCUUAUAGAGAGACAGAAGAGGUUUGUAUUUCUCCAGGCGCUCUGGUCAUCAUGGUUGAGGGAUGAACUUUGUAUAUCGUAUAGGUUGAAGCUAUCAUCUGCCAACAAUCAUCACUUUUGGAGAUCUCAACAGGGAGCCUUUUUUAAGUAGUAGGGUCAUAUUAUAUUAAUGCACGCACCAAAUUACAACACACAUAGCAUCCCUCGGCAGACUUCUAGAGAUAGUACGCAUGGGUCUAUAAGGACGCACUAUUGGGGUAGAAUCCGCAAUGCAUUUGUGACACCCCGAUUGAGAGAACCGGAGGUCCUCGUGUUCCAGCCCAGAGAUCCAUGUCUUCUGGAACAUGACUAUAACUUGGUACAUGUAGACCAAAAUAAAUAAGUACUUAUGUACAAUAGCGUCUUAAUAGUACAAUCCUCUUGCACAGCAGGUGGACACGUCUAAGUGUCAGAAGCUCAAGGGCUUUAUUCUAUGAGUGACUUAAGGAAGUACUAAAGACGGAAAUAAUACUAAUGACACAACGGAAGACGGGGUACCGGCGGGGCUCCAAUCCAAAGAGACACUGCUGGGACACCAUCUAGUCCAGGUACAUGAACUCUUCGGGAAACUCUUCUAUUGGCUCUCCAGUAUCUGGAAUGAUAAGGCAGGUGAGUACUUUGAAUGUACUCACAAGCCCACAAAUAAUCCAAAGCAAGCAAGAACAGAACAAAUAAACAUAGCAACGAAGUAAAGAUUAGUGAAGCUACUACUAUCAAGACUACUCCAUAAACUUCUCAUUUGCUUGUUUAACGUCCACUGGACCUCUUCCUGGUGAAGGAAAUAUGCCCUAGAGGCAAUAAUAAAGUUAUUAUUUAUUUCCUUAUAUCAUGAUAAAUAUUUAUUAUUCAUGCUAGAAUUGUAUUAACCGGAAACAUAAUACAUGUGUGAAUAUAUAGACAAACAGAGUGUCACUAGUAUGCCUCUACUUGACUAGCUCGUUAAUCAAAGAUGGUUAUGUUUCCUAGCCAUAGACAUAAGUUGUCAUUUGAUUAACGAGAUCACCUCAUUAGGAGAAUGACGUGAUUGACUUGACCCAUUCCGUUAGCUUAGCACCCGAUCGUUUAGUAUGUUGCUAUUGCUUUCUUCAUGACCUAUACAUGUUCCUCUGACUAUGAGAUUAUGCAACUCCCGUUUACCGGAGGAACACUUUGUGUGCUACCAAACGUCACAAUGUAAAUGGGUGAUUAUAAAGGUGCUCUACAGGUGUCUCCAAAGGUACUUGUUGGGUUGGCGUAUUUCGAGUUUAGGAUUUGUCACUCCGAUUGUCGGAGAGGUAUCUCUGGGCCCACUCGGUAAUGCACAUCACUAUAAGCCUUGCAAGCAUUGUGACUAAUAAGUUAGUUGCGGGAUGAUGUGUUACGGAACGAGUAAAGAGACUUGCCGGUAACGAGAUUGAACUAGGUAUCGAGAUACCGACGAUCGAAUCUCGGGCAAGUAACAUACUGAUGACAAAGGGAACAACGUAUGUUGUUAUACGGUCUGACCGAUAAAGAUCUUCGUAGAAUAUGUGGGAGCCAAUAUGGGCAUCCAGGUCCCGCUAUUGGUUAUUGACCGAAGACGUGUCUCGGUCAUGUCUACAUAGUUCUCGAACCCGUAGGGUCCGCACGCUUAAAGUUACGAUGACAGUUUUAUUAUGAGUUUAUGUAUGUUGAUGCACCGAAGGAGUUCGGAGUCCCGGAUGAGAUCGGGGACAUGACGAGGAGUCUCGAAAUGGUCGAGACGUAAAGAUCGAUAUAUUGGACGACUAUAUUCGGACUUCGGAAAGGUUCUGAGUGAUUCGGGUAUUUUUCGGAGUACCGGAGAGUUACGGGAAUACGUAUUGGGCCUUAUUGGGCCAUACGGGAAAGAAGAAAAAGGGCCUCAAGGGUGGCCGCACCCCUCCCCUUGGUCUGGUCCGAAUUGGACUAGGGAAGCGGGGCGCCCCCUUCCUUCCUUCUCUUUUUCCCUUCCUCUUUUCCUAUUCCAUAUGGGAGGUGGAAUCCUACUAGGACUAGGGAGUCCUAGUAGGACUCCACACUUGGUGCGCCCCCUCCUAGGGCCGGCCUCCUCCUCCCUUGCUCCUUUAUAUACGGGGGCAGGGGGGCACCCCAGAGACACAACAAUUGAUCCUUGAGAUCUUUUAGCCGUGUGCGGUGCCCCCCUCCACCAAAUUACACCUCGAUAAUAUCAUUGCGGAGCUUAGGCAAAGCCCUGCGUCGGUAGAACAUCAUCAUCGUCACCACGCCGUCGUGCUGACGAAACUCUCCCUCAACACUCGGCUGGAUCGGAGUUCGAGGGACGUCAUCGAGCUGAACGUGUGCAGAACUCGGAGGUGCCGUGCGUUUGGUACUUGAUCGGUCGGAUCGUGAAGACGUACGACUACAUCAACCACGUUGUGAUAACGCUUCCGCUGUCGGUCUACGAGGGUACGUGGACAACACUCUCCCCUCUCGUUGCUAUGCAUCGCCAUGAUCUUGCGUGGGCGUAGGAAUUUUUUUGAAAUUACUACGUUCCCCAACAGUGGCAUCCGAGCCUGGUUUUAUGCGUUGAUGCUAUGCACGAGUAGAACACAAGUGAGUUGUGGGCGAUAUAAGUCAUACUGCUUACCAGCAUGUCAUACUUUGGUUCAGCGGUAUUGUGAGAUGAAGCGGCCCGGACCGACAUUACGCGUACGCUUACGCGAGACUAGUUUCACCGUUCGGAGCACUCGUUGCUUAAAGGUGACUGGCGGGUGUCUGUCUCUCUCACUUUAGUUGAACCGAGUGUGGCUACGCCCGGUCCUUGCGAAGGUUAAAACAGCACCAACUUGACAAACUAUCGUUGUGGUUUUGAUGCGUAGGUAAGAACGGUUCUUGCUAAGCCCGUAGCAGCCACGUAAAACUUGCAACAACAAAGUAGAGGACGUCUAACUUGUUUUUGCAGGGCAUGUUGUGAUGUGAUAUGGUCAAGACAUGAUGUGAUAUAAUGUGUUGUAUGAGAUGAUCAUGUUUUGUAACCGAGUUAUCGGCAACUGGCAGGAGCCAUAUGGUUGUCGCUUUAUUGUAUGAGAUGCAAUCGCCAUGUAAUAGUUUUACUUUAUCACUAAACGGUAGCGAUAGUCGUAAAAGCAAUAAGUUGGCGAGACGACAACGAUGCUACGAUGGAGAUCAAGGUGUCGCGCCGGUGACGAUGGUGAUCAUGACGGUGCUUCGGAGAUGGAUAUCACAAGCACGGUGCUUCGGAGAUGGAGAUCACAAGCACAAGAUGAUGAUGGCCAUAUCAUAUCACUUAUAUUGAUUGCAUGUGAUGUUAAUCCUUUAUGCAUCUUAUCUUGCUUUGAUUGACGGUAGCAUUAUAAGAUGAUCUCUCACUAAAAUUUCAAGAUAAAAGUGUUCUCCCUGAGUAUGCACCGUUGCAAAAGUUCUUCGUGCUGAGACACCACGUGUUAAUCGGGUGUGAUAGGCUCUACGUUCAAAUACAACGGGUGCAAAACAGUUGCACACGCGGAAUACUCAGGUUAAACUUGACGAGCCUAGCAUAUACAGAUAUGGCCUCGGAACACAGAGACCGAAAGGUCGAGCGUGAAUCAUAUAGUAGAUAUGAUCAACGUAGUGAUGUUCACCAUUGAAACUACUCCAUCUCACGUGUUAAUCGGAUAUGGUUUAGUUGCUUUGGAUCACGUAAUCACUUAGAUGAUUAGAGAGAUGUCUAUCUAAGUGGGAGUUCUUAAGUAAUAUGAUUAAUUGAACUUAAAUUUAUCAUGAACUUAGUCCUGAUAGUAUUUUGCAAAUUAUGUUGUAGAUCAAUAGCUCGCGUUGUUGCUUCCCUGUGUUUAUUUUUUGUUCCUAGAGAAAAAUUAUGUUGAAAGAUGUUAGUAGCAAAGAUGCGGAUUGGAUCCGUGAUCUGAGGAUUAUCCUCAUUGCUGCACAGAAAAAUUAUGUCCUUGAUGCACCGCUAGGUGACAGACCUAUUGCAGGAGCAGAUGCAGACGUUAUGAACGUUUGGCUAGCUCAAUAUGAUGACUACUUGAUAGUUUAGUGCACCAUGCUUAACGACUUAGAAUCGGGACUUCAAAGACGUUUUGAACGUCAUGGACCAUAUGAGAUGUUCCAGGAGUUGAAGUUAAUAUUUCAAGCAAAUACCCGAGUUGAGAGAUAUGAAAUCUCCAACAAGUUCUAUAGCAAAAAGAUGGAGGAGAAUCGCUCAACUAGUGAGCAUGUGCUCAGAUUGUCUGGGUACUACAAUCGCUUGAAUCAAGUGGGAGUUUAUCUUCCAGAUAAAAUAGUGAUUGACAGAAUUCUCUAGUCACCAUCACCAAGUUAGUAGAACUUCGUGAUGAACUAUGGUAUGCAAGGGAUGACGAAAGUAAUUCCCGAGCUCUUCGUGAUGCUGAAAUCGAUGAAGGUAGAAAUCAAGAAAAACAUCAAGUGUUGAUGGUUGACGAGACCACUUCAAGUGUUGAUGGUUGACGAGACCGCUAGUUUCAAGAAAAGGGCAAAGGGAAAAAGGGGAACUUCAAAAAGAACGGCAAGCAAGUUGCUGCUCAAGUGAAGAAGCCUAAGUCUGGUCCUAAGCCUGAGACUAAGUACUUCUACUGCAAAGGGACUGGUCACUGGAAGCGGAACUACCCCAACUAUUUGGUGGAUAAGAAGGAUGGCAAAGUGAACAAAGGUAUAUUUGAUAUACAGAUUAUUGAUGUGUACUUUACUAGUGUUUAUAGCAAUCCCUCGGUAAUUGAUACUGGUUCAAUUGCUAAGAGUAGUAACUCGAAACGGGAGUUGCAGAAUAAACAGAGACUAGUAAAAGUGAACAAAGGUAUAUUUGAUAUACAGAUUAUUGAUGUGUACUUUACUAGUGUUUAUAGCAACCCCUCGGUAAUUGAUACUGGUUCAGUUGCUAAAGAGUAGUAACUCGAAAACGGGAGUUGCAGAAUAAACAGAGACUAGUAAAAGGCGAGGUGACGAUGUGUGUUGGAAGUAGUUCCAAGAUUGAUAUGAUCAUCAUCGCACACUCCCUGUACUUUUGGGAUUAGUGUUGACACUAAAUAAGUGUUAUUUGGUGUUUGCGUUGAGCAUGAAUAUGAUCUGAUCAUGUUUAUUGCAAUACGGUUAUUCAUUUAAGUUAGAGAACAAUUGUUGUUCUGUUUACAUGAAUAAAACCUUUAUGGUCAUACACACCAACGAAAAUGGUUUGUUGGAUCUCGAUCGUAGUGAUACACAUAUUCAUAAUAUUGAAGCCAAAAGAUGCAAAGUUAAUAAUGAUAGUGCAACUUAUUUGUGGUACUGCCGUUUAGGUCAUAUUGGUGUAAAGCGCGUGAAGAAACUCCAUACUGAUGGGAUUUUGGAAUCACUUGAUUAUGAAUCACUUGAUGCUUGCGAACCGUGCCUCAUGGGCAAGAUGACUAAAACGCCGUUCUCCAGAACUAUGGAGAGAGCAACAGAUUUGUUGGAAAUCAUACAUACAGAUGUAUGUGGCCCGAUGAAUAUUGAGGCUCGUAGCAGGUAUCAUUAUUUUCUGACCUUCACAGAUGAUUUGAGCAGAUAUGGGUAUAUCUACUUAAUGAAACAGAAGUCUGAAACAUUUGAAAAGUUCAUAUAAUUUCAGAGUGAAGCGAAAAUCAUCGUAACAAGAAAAUAAAGUUUCUACGAUUUGAUCGUGGAGAAGAGUAUUUUAGUUACGAGUUUGGCCUUCAGUUAAAACAAUGUGAAAUAGUUUCACUACUCACGCCACCUGGAACACCACGGUGUAAUGGUGUGUCCGAAACAUCGUAACCGUACUUUAUUAGAUAUGGUGCGAUAUAUGAUGUCUCUUACCGAUCUACCACUAUCGUUUUAGGGUUAUGCAUUAGAGACAGCUACAUUCACGUUAAAUAGGGUAUCAUCUAAAUCCGUUGAGAUGACGUCUUAUGAACUGUGGUUUGGCAAGAAACCAAAGUUGUCGUGUCUUAAAGUUUGGGGUUGCGAUGCUUAUGUGAAAAAGUUUCAUCCUGAUAAGCUCAAACCCAAAUCGGAGAAAUGUGUCUUCAUAGGAUACCCAAAGGAGACAGUUGGGUACACCUUCUAUCACAGAUCCGAAGACAAGACAUUCGUUGCUUAGUAUGGAUCCUUUCUAGAGAAGGAGUUUCUCUCGAAAGAAGUGAGUGGGAGGAAAGUAGAACUUGAUGAGGUAACUGUACCUGCUCCCUUAUUGGAAAGUAGUUCAUCACAGAAAUCUGUUCCUGUGACUUCUACACCAAUUAGUGAGGAAGUUAAUGAUGAUGAUCAUGUAACUUCAGAUCAAGUUACUACCAAACCUCGUAGGUAAACCAGAGUAAGAUCCGCACCAGAGUGGUACGGUAAUCCUGUUCUGGAGGUUAUGUUACUAGACCAUGACGAACCUACGAACUAUGAAGAAGCGAUGGUGAGCCCAGAUUCCGCAAAAUGGCUUGAGGCCAUGAAAUCUGAGAUGAGAUCCAUGUAUGAGAACAAAGUGUGGACUUUGGUUGACUUGCCCGAUGAUCGGCAAGCAAUUGAGAAUAAAUGGAUCUUCAAGAGGAAGACGGAUGCUGAUAGUAGUGUUACUAUCUACAAAGCUAGAAUUGUCGCAAAAAAGGUUUUCGACAAGUUCAAAGUGUUGACUACGAUGAAAGUUUCUCACUCGUAUCUAUGCUUAAGUCUGUCCGAAUCAUGUUAGCAAUUGCCGCAUUUUAUAAAAUAUGGCAAAUGGAUAAACAAAACUGCAUUCCUUAAAGGAUUUAUUAAAGAAGAGUUGUAUAUGAUGCAACCAGAAUGUUUUGUCAAUCCUAAAGGUGCUAACAAAAUAUGCAAGCUCCAGCGAUCCAUCAAUGGACUGGUGCAAGCAUCUCGGAGUUGGAAUAUACGCUUUGAUAAGUUGAUCAAAGCAUAUAGUUGUAUACAGACUUGCGGUGAAGCCUGUAUUUACAAGAAAGUGAGUGGGAGCACUACAGCAUUUCUGAUAAGUAUAUGUGAAUGACAUAUUGUUGAUCGGAAAUAAUGUAGAAUUAUUCUGCAAAGCAUAAAGGAGUGUUUGAAAGGAGUUUUUCAAAGAUAGACCUCGGUGAAGCUGCUUACAUAUUGAGCAUCAAGAUCUAUAGAGAUAGAUGAAGACGCUUGAUAAGUUUUUCAAUGAGUACAUACCUUAACAAGAUUUUGAAGUAGUUCAAAAUAGAACAGUCAAAGAAAAGAGUUCUUGCCUGUGUUACAAGGUGUGAAAUUGAGUAAAGACUCAAAGCCCGACCACGGCAAAAGAUAGGAAGAGAAUGAAAGUCAUUCCCUAUGCCUUGGCCAUAGGUUCUAUAAAGUAUGUCAUGCUUUGUACCAGAUCUAUUGUAUACCCUACACUGAUUUUGGCAAGGGAGUACAAUAGUGAUCUAGGAGUAGAUCACUGGACAGCGGUCAAAAUUAUCCUUACUGGAAUAAGGAUAUGUUUCUCGAUUAUGGAAGUGACAAAAGGCUCGUCGUAAAAGGUUACGUCGAUGCAAGUUUUGACACUAAUCUAGAUGACUCUAAGUCUCGGUCUAGAUACAUAUUGAAAGUGGGAGCAAUUAGCUAGAGUAGCUCCAUGCAGAGCAUUGUAGACAUAGAAAUUUGCAAAAUACUUACGGAUCUGAAUGUGACAGACCCGUUGACUAAAAUUAUCUCACAAGCAAAACAUGAUCACACCUUAGUACUCUUUGGGUGUUAAUCACAUAGCGAUGUGAACUAGAUUACUGACUCUAGUAAACCCUUUGGGUGAUGGUCACAUGACGAUGUGAACCAUGGGUGUUAAUCACAUGGUGAUGUGAACUAUUCAUGUUAAAUCACAUGGCGAUGUGAACUAGAUUAUUGACUCUAGUGCAAGUGGGAGACUGAAGGAAAUAUGCCCUAGAGGCAAUAAUAAAGUUAUUAUUUAUUUCCUUAUAUCAUGAUAAAUGUUUAUUAUUCAUGCUAGAAUUGUAUUAACCGGAAACAUAAUACAUGUGUGAAUAUAUAGACAAACAGAGUGUCACUAGUAUGCCUCUACUUGACUAGCUCGUUAAUCAAAGAUGGUUAUGUUUCCUAGCCAUAGACAUAAGUUGUCAUUUGAUUAACGAGAUCACCUCAUUAGGAGAAUGACGUGAUUGACUUGACCCAUUCCGUUAGCUUAGCACCCAAUCGUUUAGUAUGUUGCUAUUGCUUUCUUCAUGACCUAUACAUGUUCCUCUGACUAUGAGAUUAUGCAACUCUCGUUUACCGGAGGAACACUUUGUGUGCUACCAAACGUCACAACGUAAAUGGGUGAUUAUAAAGGUGCUCUAUAGGUGUCUCCAAAGGUACUUGUUGGGUUGGCGUAUUUCGAGAUUAGGAUUUGUCACUCCGAUUGUCGGAGAGGUAUCUCUGGGCCCACUCGGUAAUGCACAUCACUAUAAGCCUUGCAAGCAUUGUGACUAAUGAGUUAGUUGCGGGAUGAUGUGUUACGGAACGAGUAAAGAGACUUGCCGGUAACGAGAUUGAACUAGGUAUCGAGAUACCGACGAUCGAAUCUCGGGCAAGUAACAUACUGAUGACAAAGGGAACAACGUAUGUUGUUAUGCGGUCUGACCGAUAAAGAUCUUCGUAGAAUAUGUGGGAGCCAAUAUGGGCAUCCAGGUCCCGCUAUUGGUUAUUGACCGGAGACGUGUCUCGGUCAUGUCUACAUAGUUCUCGAACCCGUAGGGUCCGCACGCUUAAAGUUACGAUGACAGUUUUAUUAUGAGUUUAUGUAUGUUGAUGUACCGAAGGAGUUCGGAGUCCCGGAUGAGAUCGGGGACAUGAUGAGGAGUCUCGAAAUGGUCGGGACGUAAAGAUCGAUAUAUUGGACGACUAUAUUCGGACUUCGGAAAGGUUCUGAGUGAUUCGGGUAUUUUUCGGAGUACCGGAGAGUUACGGGAAUACGUAUUGGGCCUUUUUGGGCCAUACGGGAAAGAAGAAAAAGGGCCUAAGGGUGGCCGCACCCCUCCCCUUGGUCUGGUCCGAAUUGGACUAGGGAAGGGGGGCGCCCCCUUCCUUCCUUCUCUUUUUCCCUUCCUCUUUUCCUAUUCCAUAUGGGAGGUGGAAUCCUACUAGGACUAGGGAGUCCUAGUAGGACUCCACACUUGGUGCGCCCCUCCUAGGGCCGGCCUCCUCCUCCCUUGCUCCUUUAUAUACGGGGGCAGGGGGGCACCCCAGAGACACAACAAUUGAUCCUUGAGAUCUUUUAGCCGUGUGCGGUGCCCCCCUCCACCAAAUUACACCUCGAUAAUAUCAUUGCGGAGCUUAGGCAAAGCCCUGCGUCGGUAGAACAUCAUCAUCGUCACCACGCCGUCGUGCUGACGAAACUCUCCCUCAACACUCGGCUGGAUCGGAGUUCGAGGGACGUCAUCGAGCUGAACGUGUGCAGAACUCGGAGGUGCCAUGCGUUCGGUACUUGAUCGGUCGGAUCGUGAAGACGUACGACUACAUCAACCGCGUUGUGAUAACGCUUCCGCUGUCGGUCUACGAGGGUACGUGGACAACACUCUCCCCUCUCGUUGCUAUGCAUCACCAUGAUCUUGCGUGUGCGUAGGAAUUUUUUUGAAAUUACUACGUUCCCCAACACCUGGCACGAGUCCUGCUCAAACGACUCAUCGACAUAACUUACCAGUUACCACAGCUAUUAGAGUUUAAAGUAAAGGAAUUUUGGUGCUUGGUCAAAUAAUGUGACCUAACACAAACGGUGUCCCAUUGCCAGGGACUCGGCUAUUCGAAUAGUUUGAACACACACUCUGUAGAGGUCACACAGUUUACCCACACCAUAGACUCUUUGUCUAACUAUUCUCAUUCAUAGCAUGGCACUCUAACUAUGCCUCCGACCUCCCGCGGGCUUGCCCUGGCAGAGAGAAUCUGGGUCCUUUCCACCCCGUGUUGCACCACUUGUAUUCCCUUGGGAAUCUUUUCUCUUAAGCUCAUCCACAGACCCUGGCUCUCUUGACUGAAUGGCAACUUCCAAGCCAGAGGAAGUCUACACAUUCCAUCUUCCCUCUUCGGAAACACACGAAAGAAACAUAACUACAAACGUAAUAAAGCCCUCCCAUUCGGACAGAUGUGCUUGUAAUGAGGAUGUUCGGCUUCGUGGCAGUUGGAUUGACCAGCUAUUUAAAGUUGGGUUAACAAGGAAAGUAAAACCGUGACUUUGUAAGCUACUGAAAUCCACAACUUGUUAUCCUACUAGGGUGAAGUAUUCACGAGGAUUCAUCAUCCUAAGUAAAGUCUUUCCCCGAGAUUCUUCGUGAACGUUGCUACCUAUUUUGCUUAUGAUUCAUGUUGGCAAAAUAAUUACCGGUUAUGAGUCAUAGUUAAACUUCUAUUCUACUAGGACCAAAUCAAGGCAUCCUUUAUAGUGACUCACUAUGCUAUUUCAACCACAACAAACUUAACAUAAGCAAAGGGAAGCAACAAACAACAUUGAAAGAAAAGUAAUGUUGGAAAAGAAAUGUAAGUUGAACCCAUGGCCUUGCAAUGCCAUCAAGCAAAUGGAGGUGGUGGCUUGCCAUGCUCAAAUGGAGUAGCAAAGCAUUCUUUGUCUUCACCUCCUGGAUUAUUUCCUUCUGGAAAUAAUUUAAAAAGCAAAAUACAAUAAAGCAAAUAAGUCAAAAGUGUGUCUAGCAGCAUCUAGACAAGUCAAAUAAAUCUCAAAUUAUUCCCACAGAAGGAGAAUAAUAUAAGAAAAGUAAUGCAAAAAGAAUAAACUCAUUUGGAGUUAUGGUUUAAGAGAUAUUACUCAUCACAGCUUAGUCAACAGAAUAUAAGUAAAACAAAAAAUAGCCUGAAAUAGAAAAUCCACCAAGCGGCCACGUCGAAGGCGUAUUUCAGAAAUACGCCCCCACUUACGUACCAGUUCGGCAGGGGUUGUAUCACUGACGGGUGGGGCCAUCCUGUCAGUUUUCUUUUUUAAACACCCGGCCGAGGUGUGGUGUUCUAGCGAGGUCUCACCGGCGACUACAGAGCGCUAGGGCUCGAACGAGUGGGAUCACCUUUUGAGAGGUAUACGCAUUUAUUGUGAUUUGUUAGAAUACUCUAUGUGCUUCACUUAUAUCUUUUGAGCUAGGCAGUUGCUCUGGUGCUUCAUUAUAUCUUUUAGAGCACCGUGGUGGUUAUAUUUUAUAGAAAUGAUUGCACUCUCAUGCUUCACUUAAAUCUUUUUGAGAGUCCAUAUAUAGGAAGUGGUAAUGUGCACGUGUUAUAAGACUAGUCCGAGAAGGAUAGGUAUUCAAGGGGGAUACAAUAAAAACUUUCAUGUAGAUCACUAAAUAUGAAAUGUAUAAUUUAAUGAUAUUGAUGUUGUAAUAUGAAAGGAUAUUAGUUCAUGAUCAUUGGUUAGUAGAAAUAUCAGUAUUAAAACUUGUUAUUAACUUCUCAAAUAAGUGUUGGUCAUGGCAUGGUGGCCAGGUUUGAGCAUUUGUAUUUCUGAUUGAAAUCCUUGAGUGCUAUUAUAAUCGGAUGCGCGCGAUGGUUAACUCCUACCAACAAAUUCCCUAGGGGCAUAUGUGAGUAGUACUUUGCUUAGAAGGAUAAUAGGAGUUCACAAUAAGUAUGUCAGUUCUUUAUGACUAAUGUGAGUCCAUGGAUUAUAUGCACUCCUACCUUUCCGCAAUUUGCUAGGCUCUGCUGUACCGUGCAUUGCCCUUUCUCACCUCGAGAGUUGGUGCACACUUCGCUGGUGCAUCCAAACCCCAUGGUAUGAUACGCUCUAUCAUACAUAAGCCUCCUUAUAUCUUCUUCGAAACAGCCGCCAUACCUACCUAUUAUGGCAUUUUCACAACCAUUCCGAGAUAUAUUGCCAUGCAACUUCCACUGUUCCAUUUUCAUAACAUGUGUGUUCAACGUCAUAUUGCUUUGCAUGAUCAUAUAAAGUUGGCAUGAUAUUUGUGGCAUUGUCACCGUUCAUCAUGAUUAUACAUGUUACGCUAGAUCAUUGCACAUCCUGGUACACUAUCAGAGGCAUUAAUAUAGAGUCAUAUUGUUCAAGUUAUCGAGUUGUAUGUAAAUACAAGUGUGAUGAUAAUCAUUAUUAGAGCAUUGUCCCAGUUGAGGAAACGAUGAUGGAGACUAUGAUUCCCGCACAAGUCGGGAUGAGACUCCGGACGAAAAAAAAGAGAGAAAAGAGAGAAGGGGCAAUGUUACUAUCCUUUUUUUUUGCAAGGUAAUGCUACUAUCCUUUUGAACACUUGUGCUUUAGAGUAGCACCAUGUUCUUCACAUAGAGAGUCUCCUGAGUUAUCACUUUCAUAUACUAGUCGUAUUUUUUCAUUAUAGAAUUUGACUUGCAUAUUCUGAUGAUGGGUUUCCUCAAAUGGCCGAGGCCUUCAUGAUCAAGCAAGUUGGAUGCACAUCCACUUAGUUUUCAUUGAGCUUUCAUACACUUAUAGCUCUUAGUUCAUCUAUUGCAUGGCAAUCCCUACUCCUCGCAUUGACAUCGAUUGAUGGGCAUGUCCAUAGCCCGUUGAUUAGCCGCGUCGAUGCGAGACUUUCUUCCUUUUCAACUUUCCUUAUUAAUCUUUAUCACCGCAUUCUAUUCAACUUAUAGUGUUAUAUCCAUGGCUCACGUUCAUGUAUUGCAUAGGAUUGAAAAUGCUGAAGCGCAUUAGAAGUACGAUCCAUUUGCCUUGUUUGACACCGGGGUGCUCAUGAUUUAUAUUUAUGCAGUGAAGGUGGGGUCAUGCCAUGCUAACAUAAUAAAAUGAGUGGGGAAAGCAUUCAUUGAGGAUUGUAUAUUUUAAAAGGUUAAUGAUUAUGUUUCUUAUAUUCAUGGAUAUUAUUAUGUUGACAUUGUUACUUCAUCGUUUCUCAAUAAUUAUACCGUAAAAAUAUUACAUGAUACACAUGUUAGGUAGCAUUUCACAUCAAAAAUUCUUUUUUUAUCAUUUACCUACUCGAGGACGAGAAGGAAUUAAGCUUGAGGAUGCUAAUACGUCUUCAACGUAUCUAUAAUUUUUGAUUGUUAUAUUAUCAAUCUUGGAUGCUUUAUAUGCUUUGUAUGCUAUUUUAUAUCUUUUUGGGACUAACGUAUUAUUUUGAAUAUUUUUUGAAUUGUUUGGAUUGCUUACCACAUGUGUCAUGUGGUUUGGGACUAACCUAUUAACCCAAUGCCAGUGCCAGUUACUGUUUUUUUGCUUGUUUUUGGCUUUUUAGAAAACCAAUACCAAACGAAGUCCAAACACAAUGAAACUUUACGGUGAUUUUUUCUGGACAAGAAGGGACCCUAAAAGGUUCGGGUGGAGGCUAGAAGAUCUACGGGAGAGCCACAAGCUCACAGGGUGCGCCCCCUGAGCUCAUGGGCCGCACGCAGCUCCAUUUGACCUAAUUUCACCUCCAUAAAUUCACAUAUAUUCCCAAACCAAUAGAGAGCCACCCGAAAUACUUUUUCCGCCGCCCAAGCUUCUAUUUUUCCGUGAGCCCAUAUGGAGGCCUUUUCCGGUACUCUGUCGAAGGGGGAAUCGAUCACAGAGCGCUUCUACAUCAUGCUUGCUGUCUUACAAUGAUGCAUGAGUAGUUCACGACAGACCUACGUGUCCAUAACUAGUAGCUAGAUGGCUUCUUAUCUCUCUUUGAUCUUCAAUACAAUGUUGUCCUCGAUCUUCUUGGAGUUCUUGUAAGUGCAUCUAGUGCCACCCCUAGUUGGUUUUGGAGUAUUGCCGACAAACUUGGUUGAGGGACUAAUGUGUUUGUGAGAAUUGCAGGAUAACACAGGUAGUAGUCCCUCAUUGAUUCGGUUUACCUACCAGAGAUGACCCCUAAAAAUGUGUGAAGACAUUGAAGACAAUGGUGGUCUGUGAAGAUAUUCACAUUGAAGACUAUGACAUGAGAAGACAUCGCAUGAAGACUAUGGAGUGCGAAGACAUAGUUGUUUCGUAGUUUCCUUUUCUUCUUUGUUGAGUCAUAGGAACCGCCGUACUGUUAAGUGGGGUCCAAGUGAACAAAGUCCGAGUGACUGAUGUGAUGCUCAACCAAAUCCUAUGUCUUCGAGCGAAGACAAUGAGUGCAAAUCUUAUCCAGAGUUGGAUGAGUCAGCUUUACUUAUAGCACAAGUCAAGCUGCCGCGUGUGUUUGAAAUCUGACUGUUGGACACGUGUCAGUUCCUUAGUGGCCCAGGGUCAUUUUGGACAAAUUAGGUCGGGUUGCCUCCUGGCUAUAAAUAGCCCACCCCCUACACCAUAAAUUGGUGGCUGCUCAUAGUUAGUGCACGGCUUUUGUCGUUUGAGAGCAACCCACCUCCGAAGCAUUUGAGAGAGAGAUCCUUGCGAGGACAAAGCCCAAAACACCCAGAGCCAAAGAGUGUUAGGCAUCACUGAAGUCUUUCUGUCCGCGUGAUCUGAAGACUUGUUACACUUGAGGACUGUGAAUCCUCCAGCCGGUUAGGCGUCGCGUUCUGAGCAUCCAAGAGUCAUUGUGGAUUGCCGGUGAACGAAAUCUAUGAAGGUUUGGAAGUCUACCUUGAAGACUUACCAGAGUGAUUGGGAGAGGACUAAGUGUCCUUAACUCAAGGGGAAUAAGGUGAAGACGCUUUCUUCUGAGUUAAAUCUCAGCCUCCCUAACCAGACGUACAGUUGUCACGGCAACUGGAACUGGUCCAACAAAUCCCUGUCCUCCCCAAGCAACUGGUUCUAUCUCUUAUCUCUCUUUACUUACAGUUUGUCUUCGUGAAGUCAUUACCUGCUUGCAUGAUCUGAUUGUCUUCACUGUGUGAAGACUGCUGUUGUUUGGCUUCAUACUAUCUUCCAUCCUGAUCCAUACUACCUAACUGCUGAUAGUCUUCGUGCUUUCACUUCAUUGCUUACUUGACUAUGGCUUGUCUAGUGUAGUCUACCUUCCGCUGCAUAUCAAUAGGUUCAUUUUUAUUGUUUGUCUUCAAAGCCCCUGUGUUUUGAAGACUUUCAUAAAAAUUGCCUAUUCACGCCCCCCCCCCUCUAGUCGAUAACUAGCACUUUCAGUUCUAUCCGAUGUAAUCUUCUUUUUGUUGGGGAACGUAGCAGAAAUUCAAAAUUUUCUACGCAUCACCAAGAUCAAUCUAUGGAGUACUCUAGCAAAGAAGGGAAGGAGAGUGGAUCUACAUACCCUUGUAGAUCGCGAUGCGGAAGCGUUGCAAGAACGCGGAUGAGGGAGUCGUACUCGUAGCGAUUCAGAUCGCGGUUGAUUCCGAUCUAAGCACCGAAGAACGGUGCCUCCGCGUUCAACACACGUGCAGCCCGGUGACGUCUCCCACGCCUUGAUCCAGCAAGGAGAGAGGGAGAGGUUGGGGAAGACUCCAUCCAGCAGCAGCACGACGGCGUGGUGGUGAUGGAGGAGCGUGGCAAUCCCGCAGGGCUUCGCCAAGCACCGCGGGAGAGGAGGAGGAGGGAGAGGGGUAGGGCUGCGCCAAAAGGAGACUUUCUCGUGUCGUUAUGGCAGCCCAAACCUCAACUAUAUAUAGGGGGGGAGGGGGCUGCGCCCCCCUCUAGGGUUCCCACCCCCAAGAGGAGGCGGCCAGCCCUAGAUCCCAUCAAGGGGGGGCGGCCAAGGGGAGGAGAGGGGGGGCGCCCCACUAGAUGGGCCCUAAGGCCCAUCUGGACCUAGGGUUUGCCCCCUCCCACUCUCCCAUGCGCCUUGGGCCUUGGUGGGGGGGCGCACCAGCCCACCUGGGGCUGGUCCCCUCCCACACUUGGCCCACGCAGCCUUCUGGGGCUGGUGGCCCCACUUGGUGGACCCCCGGGACCCUCCCGAUGGUCCCGGUACAUUACCGAUAACACCCGAAACUUUUCCGGUGACCAAAACAGGACUUCCCAUAUAUAAAUCUUUACCUCCGGACCAUUCCGGAACUCCUCGUGACGUCCGGGAUCUCAUCCGGGAUUUCGAACAACAUUCGGUAACCACGUACAUACUCUCCAUAUAACCCUAGCGUCAUCGAACCUUAAGCGUGUAGACCCUACGGGUUCGGGAACCAUGCAGACAUGACCGAGACGUUCUCCGGUCAAUAACCAACAGCGGGAUCUGGAUACCCAUGUUGGCUCCCACAUGUUCCACGAUGAUCUCAUCGGAUGAACCACGAUGUCGGGGAUUCAAUCAAUCCCGUAUUCAAUUCCCUUUGUCUAUCGAUAUGUUACUUGCCCGAGAUUCGAUCGUCGGUAUCCCUAUACCUUGUUCAAUCUCGUUACCGGCAAGUCUCUUUACUCGUUCCGUAACUCACAUCAUCCCGUGAUCAACUCCUUGGUCACAUUGUGCACAUUAUGAUGAUGUCCUACCGAGUGGGCCCAGAGAUACCUCUCCGUUUACACGGAGUGACAAAUCCCAGUCUCGAUUCGUGCCAACCCAACAGAUACUUUCGGAGAUACCUGUAGUGCACCUUUAUAGUCACCCAGUUACGUUGUGACGUUUGGUACACCCAAAGCAUUCCUACGGUAUCCGGGAGUUGCACAAUCUCAUGGUCUAAGGAAAUGAUACUUGACAUUAGAAAAGCUCUGAGCAAACGAACUACACGAUCUUGUGCUAGGCUUAGGAUUGGGUCUUGUCCAUCACAUCAUUCUCCUAAUGAUGUGAUCCCGUUAUCAACGACAUCCAAUGUCCAUGGUCAGGAAACCGUAACCAUCUAUUGAUCAACGAGCUAGUCAACUAGAGGCUUACUAGGGACAUGGUGUUGUCUAUGUAUCCACACAUGUAUCUGAGUUUCCUAUCAAUACAAUUCUAGCAUGGAUAAUAAACGAUUAUCAUGAACAAGGAAAUAUAAUAAUAACCUAUUUAUUAUUGCCUCUAGGGCAUAUUUCCAACACUUUUGUGGUGUGUUUGUUGGGAUCCGAUGAAUUGUGGGUUUAUGAUCAGAUUAUUCAUUGAAAGUAGUUGAGUCUUGUCUGAAUUUUAUUAUGCAUGAUUGUUAUAGCUUUGUAUUUCCCUCCGAUCUAUCUGUUUGGUUUGCCAACUAGAUUGAUUUAUCUUCAGUGGCAUACGUGCUUUGUAAUGGGUUCAAUCUUGCGGUGUCCUCACACAAUGAUAGAAGGGGAAGCGAGACACGUAUAAUAUUGUUGCCAUUAAGUAUAAAAUUAUGGGUGUAAUCAUAUUGCUUGAGUUUACUUUGUCUACAUCAUGUCAUCUUGCUUUAGGCGUUACUCUGUUCGUCAUGAACUUAAUACCACAGAUGCAUGCUAGAUAACGGUCGAUUAGUGGAAUAAUAGUAGUAGCUGUAGACAUGAGACGGUCUACUUGUCACGGACAUGAUGACUAUAUACAUGAUCAUUGCCAUGAAUACAUCAUAACUAUGUGUUUUUCUAUCAAUUACCCAACAGUAAUUUGUUUACCCACCAUAUGCUAUGUGUUCGAGAGAGAAGCCUCUAGUGAAAACUAUGGGCCCCGGGUCUACUUUUAUCAUAUUAUUAAAACCAAAAAUACCUUGCUGCAAUUUUACACUUUUUAUUUUACUUUUAUUUUUAUCUAUGUAUCACUAUCAGAAUUAAUCCUUGCAAAUAACGAGUUCAAGGGGAAUGACAACCCUCUUGCCCGCGUUGGGUGCAAGUAUUUGCUUUUCUCUGUGUAGGUGCUGCAGAAGGGAAUUAGUGUGGUUCUUCUAUUGGUUCAAUAACUUUGGUUCUCACUGAGGGAAAUACUUAUCUCUGUUGUACUGCUUCACCCAUCCUCUUCGGGGGAAAUCCCAACACAGUUUACAAGUAGCACUACCCCUCCCUCCUCCUCCAUAGAUGCUUGGUGAAGCCCUGCCUGAGCUCCACCGUAAAAUCCACCACCACGCCAUCGUGUUGGCCUUGAUCCCAUCCACCUAUCCAUGUCGCUUGCUGGAUCAAGAAGGAGACGUCACCGAGCGAUACGUGUGCAUAUCUCAGAGGUGCCGUCCGUGUGGUACUCGAUCGGAUUGGAUCACGAAGAGAGUACGACUACGCCAACCACAUUCAUUAGAAUGUUUUCGUUUUAGGUCUACAAGGGUUUGUAAACUUUUCCCCCUCGUUGCUAGCAUCUAGUUGAUUAGAUCUUGGAUGUUUUCAUUGUCUCGUAGGAAAAAAAUUGUUUUCCAUGGAACGAUUCCCAUCACUGACCUGCUUUAAAGAAGUGGGUAGGAGCUCAGGCGACCCGGGCUCAGCAGGUGGCCAGGCGGGAGGUCCCUAAGAGGUGCAUCCAAGAAUGCAACAACCUCCAAGUAGAGAAGGCGUCCCUAGCCGAGAGGAAGAGACAACAAGAGCUGGAGCUGGAGGAAGUUAAGUCUCGCCUAGCUGAUGCCGAGAGUGACGCGGCAGGCCCUUGAGAUCAUAGCCAGUGAGUCUGUCUGUGCUUCAACUCAUAAUCUAGGUGGAAAUUUUAUUUGCCGAUCUGUCAUAGAAAUUCAUUAUUUCCAGCAUCUUUUCCCGAGCCAGUGCUGUUGGAGUGUCACUUAGGAAGAAACUGCAGCAGCUUGGAGAGUUGAACAAGAUCGCGAGGCCGACAAUGGAGGGUAUUUUCAAGGCCCUAUGGCCUGGAGAAAGGUUGUCGGAAAACCAGUUUGACCUCCCGCCGCCUCCCGGAGGGGCAUGCUCGGAUUGCCCUGUGAAAGGCCUUAGUGGCCUGAGAAGAUGCUCGUCAAGCUUGGGCCAUGCUCCAGACCCACUAUCCGGGCUUGAACAUCUGUCCUAUUGCCCUAGUUGGUCCAAAAGGACCUGUCGGUAAGGAGAUUAUGCCUAAUGGCAAUUUCCAACGGAUCAUGCCCUAUACUAGGAUGUCCGAGCAGGAUUGUCGUUUGGAAAAUAUUAUUGAAUAGGCUAGGAGCGAUUACCCUGGAAUGUCAAGGAUGAAAAGUUGUAUAAAAACUUCACGAAUUUCGCUCUAGCCAUGUUUAUUUUUUUCUAUACCGACAACAUGAUAGGUUUGGUCCGACCUGUUUAGCAUACGCUUGCAUUAACCAGCCUUUGGCUUCAACCUCCACAACCAAACGGGGAGGCCUUAUAAUUGAUGUUAACGCAAGGAGUAGGGAUCGCCAUGCAACUAGGAUGCAAACAUAUCUAUGAAUAUAUGAAAUCUCUCGCAAGGAUUAAGUAGGGGUGUGUCCAACUUGUUUGCUCAUGAAGACCUCGAGCAUUUGAUAAAGCUCAUCAUCGGGAUGUACAAGGAAAGUUCUACAACAUAAAUUCCCCAAGCUAGUAUAAAACAUGAAGCUCAUGAAACUUUAAUUAGAUGCUAAUUAUCCAGACCAACAAAAGUUCUUUAGUAAGAGUCUCUAAGAAAUAUAUUUCAUCGAAACUGUCCUACUCAGCUCGAGUGAACAGUUAAAUCCAAAAAAAAUUGAAACAAAAUUUCAAAAAAAUCUAAAUUUUUUUGGUGAUAAAUGUUUUCAAUGCUUGCAAAGUUUCAUCAUGUAAUUAUAUUUGUGGAAGUCAUGCAAAAAUAAUAUCGAUGCUUCAAAAAAGUUAUUUUCGGAGUGCUGAAUUUGUUUAUUGCCGUGACGAAGAUGAAUGCCAGUCUAUGAUGAAACUUUGCAAGGAUAUAUAACAUGUGUCAAAUUAAGCCACACACAAAAAAUCAGAAAUUUUUGAAUUCUUUCUAAAUAUUUUCAGAUUUUAUUGCUCACCCGAGCUCAUAUGAGCUCGAGCUCAGUUAAUCCGUGUCCAUGUUUCAUCCUAUUCUACUAGCAAAAACCAAUGGAGCAGAUGGUAGUGACGUGGAAAAGAAACCAUAAUAAUUUUGUAGUGAUAUAUAAUUAAAGAAACAGAAAUUUGCAAUUGCAAAUUAGGGAAUCUUAAUGUCAAAUACUGAAUUCUUCCACCCACUAGCUGUGAGACAUAUCCAUUGCAGUGCCAAAUAAAGAAACUUUUCCAUGAAUUAAUAACAGCAAGACAAUGGUCCGCGUGUUGUAUAUAAUAAAUAUUACACAGGUUUUGCAUAUGUGUAGCCGGUGCAUAUAGACCUAUGAGGAAUUACGUAUGCAUGCUCAAGAACCUAUGUUCGUACAUACAUACACAAAUCAUAUAGAACAAAAGGUAUGCUCCGGUCCGAAAGCAGAGUCGUGCAGCAGAGUUGUGGACAAAAGUGAAGUUCACAAAAGACCUUCAUACGAGAUAGGCCAUUGUUUCAACUCGUAGUUUAGGCCUUGCCGGACUCCUCGCAACCCGGUGGCCUGAAGGCGAUGAAGCUGACGCACUGCACCUGGCGCAGGUUGUCGAAGCCGAUGACACGGACAUAGGCGUCAGGGUACUCCUUCUUGACCUCCUCCACCUCGUUGAGCACCUGUGUGGCGUCGGUGCACCCAAACAUGGGCAGCUUCCACAUUGUCCAGUAUCGACCGUCGUAGUACCCGGGGGAGCUGUUGUGCUCACGGAAGACGAAGCCAACCUUGCUGAACUCGAGGCAGGGCACCCACUUGGAGCGGAUCAG